UUUAAAAUUUCUGUUAAUUAAUAGUGAUUUGUGUACUUAUAACAAAAUUUUGUCUAUUUUAUUGUUUGGAUUGAUAGGAUUCAGUUUAAUGUAGAGACAUGAGAGUAACUUAAAAUUUAUAUAAAGAAAUAAAUUUUUAAUAUUUUUGAACGUAUCGAAAAACUUUAUUAAAUAAUAUAUGAGAGAAUGUAAUCUCUGCGGGGAUAAAAUAAAUUGAAAAAUAAAAUAAAAUAAGUGGGGUGCGGAAAGAUUUUGAGGGUGGAUUAUUUACUGGACAUAGAAGAGACUUGAAAGAGAAAUUGCAUGAAAGAGGAUGGUCCUGGGAUGACAUUCUCCUCGACAUAUAACAUAUGUGGAUGACCAAAAUAAUUUAUAUAUAUAUAUAUAUAUAAGAAUGAAGAGCCCAUACGAGAAAUCUGCACGUACAAAUGCGUGGGCGAAUAUACAUAUAUAUUUCCGCGCCGUUAUUCAUUUCUCAAUAUAUAUUUUCGAAGUCUUCUAUUUAUUAUUUCGGUCUUAAAAGUAAUAAAGAUGCAUUGAAUGAAGCGGUAAAUUGAAGAUGAAAAUGGCUUGGAAACGAAAUUUAAACUGUUUUAAUAUAAAAUGCGACCUCUUUUUUUCUACUUUAUUAUACCUAUUUAUAUGAAAUCAUGCAUAUAUAUAUUAUUACAUAUCUUCCCGACUAUUUUUGUUUUAAUUUAGAAUAUAUU
Molecule: long non-coding RNA, 710 nt
Organism: Leptopilina boulardi
Lineage: Eukaryota; Metazoa; Arthropoda; Insecta; Hymenoptera; Figitidae
Exons: 3
Source: RefSeq, a predicted model, not a curated record